Molecule: ribosomal RNA, 497 nt
Filed under: uncultured bacterium
Lineage: Bacteria
Description: partial 16S ribosomal RNA
Rfam family: Bacterial small subunit ribosomal RNA
Source: RNAcentral
GAUGAACGCUGGCGGCGUGCCUAACACAUGCAAGUCGAGCGACCGGACGAGAAGCUCUCUCUUCUGCUGUUGGCGGCUGACGGGUGAGUAACACAUGGAUCACAUUCUUCUUUUACUGGGGUGACUUCGGGAGACCGGUUCUACUAAUAGCUCAUAUUUCGUACGGCAUAGAUCAAAAGUGCUUCACACCUUUCCCGUCUCUUUUAGCCGGAUUCGGGCUGGAUUAGCUAGUUGGUAAGGUAACGGCCUACCAAGGCGACGAUGCAUAGCUGAGCUGAGAGGAUGAUCGGCCACACUGGAACUGAGACACGGUCCAGACUCCUACGGGAGGCAGCAGUGGGGAAUAUUCGGCAAUGGGCGAAAGCCUGACGGAGCAAUGCCGCGUGAGUGAUGAAGGUCUUCGGGUCGUAAAGCUCUGUUGUUAGGGAAGAACAGAUGUGUAUGAAACUGUGGAUGUCUUGACGGUACCUAAUCAAAAAGCCACGGCUAACUACGUG